This 253-nucleotide ribosomal RNA is filed under the name uncultured bacterium. RNAcentral describes it as "partial 16S ribosomal RNA". It matches the Rfam family "Bacterial small subunit ribosomal RNA", at positions 524 to 776 of the family's 1533-position model. The record is from RNAcentral.
UACGUAGGGGGCAAGCGUUGUCCGGAGUUACUGGGCGUAAAGCGCACGCAGGCGGUCUCUUAAGCUUGGAGUGACAGUUGGUGGCUUAACUGCCAAAGUGCUUCGAAAACUGAGAGACUUGAGGGCUUCAGAGGGACACGGAAUUCCGGGUGGAGUGGUGAAAUGCGUAGAGAUCCGGAGGAACACCAAAGGCGAAGGCAGUGUCCUGGGGAGUACCUGACGCUCAGGUGCGAAAGCCAGGGGAGCGAACGGG